UCCGGUUUGUCACCGGCAGUCUCUGCAGAGUCCUCGGCUUUACCCGUUAGUAACAGCAGAUAAGGGUUGCGCUCGUUGCGGGACUUAACCCAACAUCUCACGACACGAGCUGACGACAGCCAUGCAGCACCUGUGUCCAGGUUCCCUUUCGGGCACCCCUCCAUCUCUGGAGGGUUCCUGGCAUGUCAAGGGUAGGUAAGGUUUUUCGCGUUGCAUCGAAUUAAUCCACAUAAUCCACCGCUUGUGCGGGUCCCCGUCAAUUCCUUUGAGUUUUAGCCUUGCGGCCAUACUCCCCAGGCGGAGUGCUUAAUGCGUUAGCUGCGGCACAGAGAGGGUUGAAGACCUCCCCACACCUAGCACUCAUCGUUUACAGCGUGGACUAC
This 383-nucleotide unclassified non-coding RNA is filed under the name uncultured bacterium. RNAcentral's name for it is "contains 16S-23S intergenic spacer region". The record is from RNAcentral.